RNAcentral lists this unclassified non-coding RNA (352 nucleotides) under soil metagenome. RNAcentral describes it as "partial contains 5.8S ribosomal RNA, internal transcribed spacer 2, and large subunit ribosomal RNA". The stretch from base 1 to 120 matches the Rfam family "5.8S ribosomal RNA", at positions 35 to 154 of the family's 154-position model. The record is from RNAcentral.
GAUGAAGAACGCAGCGAAAUGCGAUAAGUAAUGUGAAUUGCAGAAUUCAGUGAAUCAUCGAAUCUUUGAACGCACAUUGCGCCCGCCAGUAUUCUGGCGGGCAUGCCUGUUCGAGCGUCAUUUCAACCCUCAGGCCCCCAGUGCCUGGUGUUGGGGAUUGGCCCAGCCUUCCUGUAAGGCCGCCGGCCCCGAAAUCUAGUGGCGGUCUCGCUGUAGUCCUCCUCUGCGUAGUAGCACAACCUCGCAGUUGGAACGCGGCGGUGGCCAUGCCGUUAAACACCCCACUUCUGAAAGUUGACCUCGGAUCAGGUAGGAAUACCCGCUGAACUUAAGCAUAUCAAUAAGCGGAGGA